Cajanus cajan (pigeon pea) is the source of this 1322-nucleotide long non-coding RNA. RefSeq lists it as uncharacterized. NCBI's taxonomy places the organism in Eukaryota, Viridiplantae, Streptophyta, Magnoliopsida, Fabales, Fabaceae. The record is from RefSeq and is a predicted model, not a curated record.
GAAGACUAUUUGAUUAUUUCAAGAGAAGUGGUCAGAAGUUAUAUAGUCAGUCUUCAAGUUCACAUAUCUGAUCGAAGCAAUCGAUUAUCCUCAAGUUGCACGAACAGGAAAAUUUACAAAAAAAAAUGACACUUUUCAUGAUACAGUGAGAAGAGUCUAUAGUUUGUGUAUUUAUAUCUUUGCCAUGUGAACCCAACAAUGCAGAGCAGGAAGACUAAUUGAUUAUUUCAAGAGAAGUGGUCAGAAGUUAUAUAGUUAGUCUUCAAGUUCCCAUAUCUGAUCGAAGCAAUCCAUUAUCCUCAAGUUGCAAGAACAGGUACUUUGAACAAUGGGAAACCGUUCCGGCGGGUUUCGUCUUCUCGGCAAUGGGCACUCUUUUUACCGUAUUGAACUGGGCGAGGCAGCUACCAUUAGCAUGAAGAAGAGAGGAAUAAAGCUAGAUGAAAAGACUCAUAAAAUGACUCAGACCUGGGAAGUCUUGUACAACGUGCAAGGAGUGAUUUCUACAUUUUCCAUAACCAAUAAAACCACCGAAACAAAUUCAGACGAGGAGUUAGACAUCAAAAUUGAAGAUUAUACGCAUGGAAUAGAAACAGAUAUAGCUAUGUAUGGUGAAACGAAUUACGUAACGGUGAGAAAAGCAGAAGCUGGUCUCUUCUUGACGUAUAUCGUGGGGCAGAAUCUUAUCGAUUUUUCGUCAACCACCGAGGCCCUUACACAGCAAAGUCCGGUGAUUCCUCGAGGGGUGAGACAAAAACGUAUUUUCACGCUUAUGGGUAUGGAACUAGGAUGAGUCUUUUCGUUAUGGAGUCCAAGAGCAGAAGAAGCAAUGAGAAGGCUUACAUGGUAACCGUGGCUCAUUAUUACGUGAAGAGUUCUAGCGGAGGAAUAUUCAAUGCAAGUGGUGUAGACAUUGGUCUUUCCAUGGUGGUGAGUGGUGACGAUUCGAGUGUCGCGUACAGGCCGUUUGGAAUUCAACGUAGAUGGGCCUGUUGAACACCCUUCUUCGGCACUGUUUCACAUGAUUGAAGAGGCUACGGGAACCGGGACGUGGAAACCUACUGCAUGUCCUCAUUGUGUCAAUGUUCAGAGGCAGUCUGAUGAGAGUGAAGACAGUGACAGUUCUCUUAGGGCACCACGGCAAAGUCAUGGCAGCCUUCAAAGUAUAGGAAAUAGAGGACGGGUCAACGGGGAUGCUAACGGUAGUUUCUUUCAAGGAAAUAAAAUUAAGUUUGUUAAAAGAUGGAUAUAAUUAAGUUUAUGUAGAUAAUUUGUUAAAUAUGUAUUCAUAUUUAUUUAUUUAAUUAAGAUAAUUAUUCAUA